CCUGGACCCGGGUUUAUCAGCCAUGGGAGGACGCUUCUCGAUAUUCCAUCCCGCACUGCUGGUAGUUGCGGGCUAGGCAAAGGUUUGGCUAGUUGAAAGACUAGCGUAAUGACUAAUGCCGGGGAAGGGAACUCUUCGGAGUGAACGAACUGGAAUUGAGGGGGGCCGAGAAAAGCCCCACAGCAUUAAUGAUAAAUUCGACCGUACUGUAAACCGACACAGGUGGGUGAGUCGAGGAGACUAAGGCGUUCGAGUGAACUCUCGUUAAGGAACUAGGCAAAUGAGCCCCGUAACUCCGGGAUAAGGGGCGCCAGCGCAAGCUGGCCGCAGCGAAGCAGCCCAGGCGACUGUUUACCAAAAACACAGGUCUCUGCUAACACGAAAGUGGAUGUAUAGGGGCUGACGCCUGCCCAAUGCCAGUAGGUUAACAGGAGAUGUCAGGAGUAAUCCGAAGCAUUGAAUCGAAGCCCUGGUGAAUGGCGGCCGUAACUCUAACGGUCCUAAGGUAGCGAAAUUCCUUGUCGGCUAAAUACCGACCCGCAUGAAAGGCGUAACGACUCGGGCACUGUCUCUACGAGAAGCUCGGUGAAAUUGUAGCACCCGUGAAGAUGCGGGUUACGCGCAGUAGGACGGAAAGACCCCGUGGAGCUUUACUACACCCUGUCACUGCGAAUUGGGUGUAGAUGUAGAGAGUAGGUGGGAGCUUAGGCACCAAUGGAACACCACCCUUCUACAUCUGGUUCGCUAACCGUCACCAUUAUCUGGUGACGAGACAAUGACAGGCGGGUAGUUUGACUGGGGCGGUCGCCUCCCAAAAGGUAACGGAGGCGCCUAAAGUUGCACUCAGGCUGGUUGGAAAUCAGCCGUCGAGCGUAUAGGUAUAUAGUGCGAUUGACUGCGAGACAAACAGGUCGAGCAGGGACGAAAGUCGAGCUAAGUGACCCUCUGGUGGUGCGUGGGCACGCCAGGGUUCAUCGGAUAUAAGCUACCCCGGGGAUAACAGGCUGAUCUUGCCCGAGCGCUCACAGCGACGGCAUGGUUUGGCACCUCGAUGUCGGCUCGUCUCAUCCUGGGGCUGUACACGGUCCCAAGGGUUCCGGAGUUCACGGAUUAAAGGGGCACGCGAGCUGGGUUCAGAACGGCGUGAGCCAGUUCGGUCCCUAUCCACUGCGCGCGGAGGAAAUUUGAGAGGACUCGCUCCUAGUACGAGAGGACCGGAGUGAACCGACCUCUGGUGUACCUGUUGUGCCGCCAGGCGCAUACGCAGGGUAGCCACGUCGGGUCGUGAUAAGCGCUGAAAGCAUCUAAGCGCCAAGCACACCUCAGGAUGAGAUUUCCCAUCGAAAGAGUAAGGCCCCCGGAAGACUACCGGGUUGAUAGGUCGCAGGUGUGAGCGCAGUAAUGUGUUAAGCUGAGCGAUACUAAUUGGCCGAGGGCUUG
RNAcentral lists this ribosomal RNA (1440 nucleotides) under metagenome. RNAcentral describes it as "bacterial LSU rRNA". It matches the Rfam family "Bacterial large subunit ribosomal RNA", at positions 1437 to 2925 of the family's 2925-position model. The record is from RNAcentral.